GGAAUACGGAUACAGCUCUCUGGCCUGCGGCUGCUGCUUGCACUCUAAGCGCAAUCAAUGAGUUACAAGCUGGAAUUCUUGGGACCCGGCAAAGAGAGCUGCAGUGUGUCGAGAGUUUCCGGCAAAGUGACCUGCAGGCUGUUAGAUUCUGCCUUGAGAGGGGAAGCCGGGAAGAAAGCUGCUAAACAACAAGACAUUCAAGAAAAGUUAAAGAUUUUAAACUAAAAAAGUUAUGAAUGGUUAUAAAUGUUCUAUAAUGUAGGAAAUUUAAUUUAAAAGUGAACUGCCCCUUUAACUGUUGGGAGUUUCCGGCAAAGAGAUUUGCAGUGUUAUAUGUAACCUGAAAAUCACUUUAUUGCAAUAUAUAUUGUUUUUACUAUUAUUUGUCAUAUGCUGGGGCAACAGGGGAAAGCACAGACAGUGUGCAGGCUGAAACUUUUUACCCCAUGCUCUCUAUCCCUAUGCUAUCUCUAUCUAUUAGCUCUUGCUCUCCCAUUUAAACAGAUUCUUCCUAAAAAAAAAAAUCACUCUAGCAGCUCUUAGAGUUAACAGCCUGCCCAGAUUCUACUGCUUGUAUGUGGCAAUAAAUUUGACUUCUGUCUAUA
Long non-coding RNA from Xenopus laevis (African clawed frog), 605 nucleotides. RefSeq lists it as uncharacterized. Lineage: Eukaryota; Metazoa; Chordata; Amphibia; Anura; Pipidae. The record is from RefSeq and is a predicted model, not a curated record. The transcript has 2 exons.